Molecule: long non-coding RNA, 1263 nt
Organism: Lynx canadensis (Canada lynx)
Lineage: Eukaryota; Metazoa; Chordata; Mammalia; Carnivora; Felidae
Exons: 3
Source: RefSeq, a predicted model, not a curated record
AUUACAUCCGUACAUAGACCUGGCUAAUGGCGUGGCUGGGAAGUAAACCUCAUAGAGCUAAAUACGUGUACAAUUCCUUUUAGAACAGAAGGCUCAGCUGUCAUCAGUGAUGUUCAAGCGCGAGUUACUUUUAGGGGAAAGCCAGAAACAGGUGGAUUAUUUUGGCCUACACCAUAUCAAGUGCUUCCUCGCUGAGCCACAGAGAGAUUCAAUCAGAAAGAACCUUGUUGGAGAUGGGUUCAAGGCCCCGUGGAAGACAUCAGGCGGAACAUUUAAUUUCGUUCAAACGAGCCUCAUAAUUUGAAAGUCCGCCUCAAGCCUAUCAUUCUGGAAAGCGUGCAGCGAAUGACUUCCUGACACGCCCAGGGAGGCAGGAGAGAGAUGAAAACAUGUGUGAAAGCUGUCAUCCAGUUGUCCAAGAUGCCUCAGAGAGCAGUCCGGUUCCCAGCAGCCCCCGAACGGCUUGGGUCCUGCGCGCGUAGAACCGAAAGCUCUCCCCAGUGUUGACAACGCAGAAUUGGGGGGCGGGGGGCAGGUUGCUGCUCAGAACGUGACCGUGAGCCAUCCCCGUCCACCGUCCCCAGACCAGAGCACUGGUCGGCAUGGUGGACGUUGUCAUCGUGAUUACGUGGCGUAGUAGGCUGGCUGGUGAAAUAAAAAAUAAUCAGUUCUCUCUGUUCUAUGUUUUAUAAUGCACUACCAUACAUAUGGCUUCGUGUCAGGUUCUGUGGAAUACAGAACAACGUGGAAUACAGCGGAAGGUGGACCAAAGCCAAAUUACACAAUAAAAAUGCGGAUGACUCGGGCCCCGAAGCGGAACAGGAAGGACUAACAGACUGAUGGCAAGGAACGGCCCUUACUAUCUGCUAGGGUUUUAACAUGGCAUUGUAAGGAUUCACCUGACCGGUUCUGUUUAUUUUCUAUUAUUAUUUUUAAGUGUUUCUUUAUUUAUUUUGAGGGGGAGCGAGAGAUGGCGUGAGGCGCGGGAGGCACAAAGAGAGGGAGCGAGAAUCCCAGGCCGGCCCCGCGCUAUAGGCACGGAGCCCCGCGAGGGGCUCGAGCUCAGGAACCAAACCGUGAGAUCACGACCUGAGUCGGAAUCAAGAGUCGGACGCUUAACUGACCGAGCCACCCGGGCACCCCCUUUUUAUUUGUUAACCUCGCGAAAGAUACUGUUAUUACCACAGUCAUAAUGGCAAGAACAACACCUGAAGGCAUUCGGUGCCCCCGUGUGCCAGGCACUGUACAGGGUGCGUCUCACCC